CCGGCGGCGUGCCUAACACAUGCAAGUCGAACGAGAAAGUGGAGCAAUCCAUGAGUAAAGUGGCGCACGGGUGAGUAACACGUGACUAACCUACCUUGAAGUGGGGGAUAACCUCGGGAAACCGGGGCUAAUACCGCAUAAUCCCGAGAGGGCAAAGGAGCAAUUCGCUUUUAGAGGGGGUCGCGGCUGAUUAGUUAGUUGGUAGGGUAACGGCCUACCAAGACGAUGAUCAGUAUCCGGCCUGAGAGGGCGCACGGACACACUGGAACUGAAACACGGUCCAGACUCCUACGGGAGGCAGCAGUGGGGAAUUUUGCGCAAUGGGGGAAACCCUGACGCAGCAACGCCGCGUGGAGGAUGAAGUCCCUUGGGACGUAAACUCCUUUCGAUCGGGACGAUUAUGACGGUACCGGAAGAAGAAGCCCCGGCUAACUUCGUGCCAGCAGCCGCGGUAAUACGAGGGGGGCGAGCGUUGUUCGGAAUUAUUGGGCGUAAAGGGCGCGUUNGCGGUGCGGUAAGUUUGUGGUGAA
This 530-nucleotide ribosomal RNA is filed under the name uncultured bacterium. RNAcentral's name for it is "bacterial SSU rRNA". It matches the Rfam family "Bacterial small subunit ribosomal RNA", at positions 36 to 598 of the family's 1533-position model. The record is from RNAcentral.